Molecule: ribosomal RNA, 650 nt
Filed under: uncultured Actinomycetes bacterium
Lineage: Bacteria; Bacillati; Actinomycetota; Actinomycetes
Description: bacterial SSU rRNA
Rfam family: Bacterial small subunit ribosomal RNA
Source: RNAcentral
AUCUUAGAUUCGCGGCCUAUCAGCUUGUUGGUGAGGUAACGGCUCACCAAGGCAUCGACGGGUAGCUGGUCUGAGAGGAUGAUCAGCCACACUGGGACUGAGACACGGCCCAGACUCCUACGGGAGGCAGCAGUGGGGAAUAUUGCACAAUGGGCGAAAGCCUGAUGCAGCAACGCCGCGUGCGGGAAGAAGGCCCUAGGGUUGUAAACCGCUUUCAGCAGGGAAGAAAAUGACGGUACCUGCAGAAGAAGGUGCGGCCAACUACGUGCCAGCAGCCGCGGUGACACGUAGGCACCAAGCGUUGUCCGGAUUUAUUGGGCGUAAAGAGCUCGUAGGCGGUUCAGUAAGUCGGGUGUGAAAACUCUGGGCUCAACCCAGAGACGCCACCCGAUACUGCUGUGACUUGAGUACGGUAGGGGAGCGGGGAAUUCCUGGUGUAGCGGUGAAAUGCGCAGAUAUCAGGAGGAACACCAGUGGCGAAGGCGCCGCUCUGGGCCGAAACUGACGCUGAGGAGCGAAAGCAUGGGUAGCAAACAGGAUUAGAUACCCUGGUAGUCCAUGCCGUAAACGUUGGGCACUAGGUGUGGGUCUCAACCAACGAGAUCCGCGCCGUCGCUAACGCAUUAAGUGCCCCGCCUGGGGAGUACGGA